Long non-coding RNA from Rattus norvegicus (Norway rat), 610 nucleotides. RefSeq lists it as uncharacterized. NCBI's taxonomy places the organism in Eukaryota, Metazoa, Chordata, Mammalia, Rodentia, Muridae. The record is from RefSeq and is a predicted model, not a curated record.
GGGACUCUGAACAGUUUCACCUUUUAGGCUGUGGCUAGGUGACUAGUUGGCUAGCCAAGACCCUGAACACCGAGGGUUUUGGAUACAGAAGCCAAGCUCUGGGUGCUCUCAUCUUGCUCUCACCCCUUUGUCAUCCAUUCCUACACUUUUCUUUAUUCUCUGACCUCCCCCAUCUCAUCAGAAAGCAUGCACAUUAAGUGGCUCAAAGCUAACUCCAUUUAGGAUUUUAAGAAAAUGUGCGGUAGAAAGAAAAACUACCAACACCUUAAUCUCAUAAUGGGCUUUCUGAAGGGAAGACAGAUGUGACAAGACAGAUUGAGCAUCCUCUGAACAAGGCCCUUCAGCAGAAGCCCUACUGAUGUUCUGGGCUACAGUUUUUGCUAUCACGAGACCUACAUAUGGACAUUGAAGAAGGAAGAUUCACUCUUCUUCACCGCUUGCACUGACUUGCCAGCACAUCUGUUGGAGUCUACUUCUACAGAAGAGCAGCUGAAGCAGCCAGCCUUGUGGGACUGAGCAACUACUAGAUCCUUGGACUUCCCCUCCACAGCUGCCCAUUGUUGGGGAGUUGGACUGUCAGUCAUCAUAAUAAAUUCCCUCAAUAUAGAAA